This is a non-coding RNA of Musca domestica (house fly), 46 nucleotides long. The record is from Rfam. NCBI's taxonomy places the organism in Eukaryota, Metazoa, Arthropoda, Insecta, Diptera, Muscidae.
AAAAUGGAUUUUCUAAAAUCCAAUAUUUUGUUUAGAAAAACCUAAU